UACGUAGGGGGCAAGCGUUGUCCGGAAUCAUUGGGCGUAAAGCGCGCGUAGGCGGCCCGGUAAGUCCGCUGUAAAAGUCCAGGGCUCAACCCUGGAAAGCCGGUGGAUACUGUCGGGCUAGAGUCCGGAAGAGGCGAGUGGAAUUCCUGGUGUAGCGGUGGAAUGCGCAGAUAUCAGGAGGAACACCGGUGGCGAAGGCGGCCUUCUGGACGGCGACUGACGCUGAGACGCGAAAGCGUGGGGAGCAAACAGG
This 253-nucleotide ribosomal RNA is filed under the name uncultured bacterium. RNAcentral describes it as "partial 16S ribosomal RNA". It matches the Rfam family "Bacterial small subunit ribosomal RNA", at positions 524 to 776 of the family's 1533-position model. The record is from RNAcentral.